Molecule: ribosomal RNA, 402 nt
Filed under: Papuina sp. Wagina
Lineage: Eukaryota; Metazoa; Mollusca; Gastropoda; Stylommatophora; Camaenidae
Description: partial 16S ribosomal RNA
Rfam family: Bacterial large subunit ribosomal RNA
Source: RNAcentral
CAAAAACAUAGCAUAGUGUAUUUAAUACUUUGCAUUUUCUGCUCAGUGAGAUAUUAAAUAGCCGCAGUACCUUGACUGUGCAAAGGUAGCAUAAUCAAUUGGCUUUUAAAUGGAGUCGAGAAUGAAUGAAUAAAUGGGGGAGUACUAUAUAUUAAGUAGAGUAUGAACUUUAUUACUAAGUGAAAAUGCUUAGAGAUAAUUAUAAGACGAGAAGACCCUAGAAAUUUUAGAAUAUUUUGUUGGGGCAACAUAAUAACAGUUAAUUUAUUAUAUGGACAUGGUGAAUAUAUUCAGGAAGUUGAAAUUACUCUAGGGAUAACAGCAUAAUUUUUGAAAGUUUGUGACCUCGAUGUUGGAUUAGGAAUUUGUUUCUUAGAAGGCAAAUAAAAAUUGCUCUGUUCG